RNAcentral lists this ribosomal RNA (508 nucleotides) under uncultured bacterium. RNAcentral describes it as "partial 16S ribosomal RNA". It matches the Rfam family "Bacterial small subunit ribosomal RNA", at positions 30 to 523 of the family's 1533-position model. The record is from RNAcentral.
AUUGAACGCUGGCGGCAUGCCUUACACAUGCAAGUCGAACGGCAGCGGGGGAGAAGCUUGCUUUUCCUGCCGGCGAGUGGCGAACGGGUGAGUAAUACAUCGGAACGUGCCCUGUAGUGGGGGAUAACUAGUCGAAAGAUUAGCUAAUACCGCAUACGACCUGAGGGUGAAAGUGGGGGACCGCAAGGCCUCAUGCUAUAGGAGCGGCCGAUGUCUGAUUAGCUAGUUGGUGGGGUAAAGGCCUACCAAGGCGACGAUCAGUAGCUGGUCUGAGAGGAAGAUCAGCCACACUGGGACUGAGACACGGCCCAGGCUCCUACGGGAGGCAGCAGUGGGGAAUUUUGGACAAUGGGCGAAAGCCUGAUCCAGCAAUGCCGCGUGUGUGAAGAAGGCCUUCGGGUUGUAAAGCACUUUUGUCCGGAAAGAAAUGGCUCUGGUUAAUACCUGGGGUCGAUGACGGUACCGGAAGAAUAAGGACCGGCUAACUACGUGCCAGCCGCCGCAGUAA